This 269-nucleotide long non-coding RNA is filed under the name Medicago truncatula (barrel medic). RNAcentral's name for it is "long non-coding RNA (MTRU_LNC000481)". The record is from RNAcentral. Lineage: Eukaryota; Viridiplantae; Streptophyta; Magnoliopsida; Fabales; Fabaceae.
CCACUUUCAAAUAUUUAUCAGGUGACGGGACUACUCCCAUUCCAAUAAUAUUCGUAGGAAAGUCUCGUUUGGGUGUAGUAUCGCGUAUCAACCAAUUCAAGACUACUCUUGAUUAGCCACCGCACUACGUCCUAAAAGGCCAAGAUGGGUUAAUGGUAACUAAAGGUCCUCAACAUCGACGGUCACUUGAAAAUAUAAUGCCAACACGACUACUCAUGCCAACAUAAAUUACUUCCAAGAUCCCUCCAUUGAGUGGGGUUAUACCACAU